AUGCUGCAACAGCUAAUAAGAUGGGAAGACAACUCACUUUGCCCCUCCUCCAAGCACAUCAGCGACUCUUCGAUCUGCUUCUCUCCCUCGCAAGAUAUGGGAUUCUUAUAUACCAUUGCUGCAUCAUGUUGCACACAUGCAAUUCUAUUGUUUUGUGUAAGAGCCAUUGACUUUUGUGGAGAAGUUCGCAUCACGAUGGAAUUCUGCUGUCAAGGUCGCCAUGUCGGCGAGCUCAUUGGCGUCGUACUGCCCCAACAGGAGCGCCAUCGGGUCGGCGGCGCUGCUGGCGGCUGCAACCAUGGAUGA
This 306-nucleotide ribosomal RNA is filed under the name Triticum aestivum (bread wheat). RNAcentral describes it as "partial small subunit ribosomal RNA". Lineage: Eukaryota; Viridiplantae; Streptophyta; Magnoliopsida; Poales; Poaceae. The record is from RNAcentral.